Long non-coding RNA from Notothenia coriiceps (black rockcod), 1081 nucleotides. RefSeq lists it as uncharacterized. Lineage: Eukaryota; Metazoa; Chordata; Actinopteri; Perciformes; Nototheniidae. The transcript has 5 exons. The record is from RefSeq and is a predicted model, not a curated record.
UUUAUCACUCAGAGCGGUGCCAUGAUGGCUCUGAAUCUUUCCUGCAUGAUGCAUGUCCACUCUGGGAAAGUGAAGGCUCAUUGCAAAUACAUAGAGAAGGUAGUAUUUGAAUCACUUCUAGAGAAAAUGAGCAUUGGUCAUUUGCAUGUUGAUUAUAAUAUUAACAAUAGAAAAGAAGUGAUUUUAUUAUUUGAUAAUGCAAUGUAGAACUGUUUUGCAAAGUGAUGUUGUACAGAUAACCUGAGAGGCAAGUGAGAAAACAAAAUCUGGUGAUGAGUUUUUUUUUUUAAACCAGGAUAAUUUUCUGAAUUCACUACUAUUAUUGUUUAAUCUGCGAAAAUGUAAGAAAACAGUUUUACCAGGUGCAAAAAAAGCCGUUGUCCGUUGUUAUUUCUUCUUGAAAUACCAAUGUUGGAGACAAGAGGCUCAAGUGCAGGUAUACUGUAUGUACAUUGUGUAAGAAAGCAUGGAGAAAUGUAAACCUAAAAAAAAGGGACAAUAUCAUUUAGACCAAACAUUAAAAAUGGAUUGCCAAUUAUUAUUUUUUUCACAUUUGCCUCUCUCGAAUUAUACUGGUAAUUAUCCAAGAUUUCUGAAUUCAUUGACUGUUGUUAAUGUGUUUCUGCUCAAAUAUUUCAGCGUAACCCUGAUGGAACUGUUGCAGUAGGUAACUGUCAGACGGGAUAUAAAGGGGAAAGGGGAGAGAGAGGUCUUCCUGGGCUGCCGGCACCACAAAGCUCAUUUGUUUCAAGGGGAGGCUGGGGGUCAAGUGGUGACCAGGGCCUUAAGGGAGAGAAGGGCAACAGGGGGGAGGGAGGGUUCUCCGGAACACCAGGCACCCCCGGGAGAACCGGACCUGUGGGCCCCAAAGGAGAGUCUGUGAUCGGACCCCAGGGCCCCCCCGGGGUGCCGGGUUCACCGGGGUUCCCCGGCUAUGGCAGACCAGGACCGGUGGGCCCUGCUGGACCCCCAGGGCCCCCGGGACCCUCUGGGACCCCCUUAAGAUACGGCUCAGGUACAAUUCAUUGUAAGAGCCACUUAAGAACAUUUGUAUUUGAGUAAAACAUGAUUAUGUCGGCAU